Molecule: ribosomal RNA, 253 nt
Filed under: uncultured bacterium
Lineage: Bacteria
Description: partial 16S ribosomal RNA
Rfam family: Bacterial small subunit ribosomal RNA
Source: RNAcentral
UACGUAGGGUGCAAGCGUUAAUCGGAAUUACUGGGCGUAAAGCGCACGUAGGCGGUUAGUUAAGUUGGAUGUGAAAGCCCCGGGCUCAACCUGGGAAUUGCAUUCAAAACUGGCUAACUAGAGUAUGUGAGAGGGGGGUAGAAUUCCAAGUGUAGCGGUGAAAUGCGUAGAGAUUUGGAGGAAUACCAGUGGCGAAGGCGGCCCCCUGGCACAAUACUGACGCUGAGGUGCGAAAGCGUGGGGAGCAAACAGG